AGCUCCAAUAGCGUAUAUUAAAGUUGUUGCAGUUAAAAAGCUCGUAGUUGGAUUUCUGGUUAGAUGCGCCUGGCCCGCCGACGUUCAGUCGUGUGAAGUGCUGGUGCGCAACUGCCAUCCUUCUAGAGAAGGGACCAACGGUUCAUUCCGGCUCGGUUCACAAUCUAGAUCUUUUACUUUGAAAAAAUUAGAGUGUUUAAAGCAGGCUUAUGCUAUGAAUACAUUAGCAUGGAAUAAUAAUUUAGGACUUUGUUUCUAUUUUGUUGGUUUCUGGAAACGAAGUAAUGAUUGAUAGGGAUUGUUGGGGGUGCUAGUAUUCAGCGGCCAGAGGUGAAAUUCUCGGAUUCGCUGAAGACUAACUUAUGCGAAAGCAUUCACCAAGGAAGUCUUCU
This 392-nucleotide ribosomal RNA is filed under the name uncultured eukaryote. Its description in RNAcentral is "SSU rRNA". It matches the Rfam family "Eukaryotic small subunit ribosomal RNA", at positions 587 to 972 of the family's 1831-position model. The record is from RNAcentral.